CCUACGGGAGGCAGCAGUGAGGAAUAUUGGUCAAUGGGCGAGAGCCUGAACCAGCCAAGUCGCGUGAGGGAGUACUGCCCUAUGGGUUGUAAACCUCUUUUGUCGGGGAGCAAAAGCCGGACGUGUCCGGCUGUGAGAGUAACCGAAGAAAAAGCAUCGGCUAACUCCGUGCUAGAAGCCGCGGUAAUACGGGGGAUGCGAGCGUUAGCCGGAUGUAUGGGGUUAAAGGGGUGCGAAGGCGGAUUUUUAAGUCAGCGGUCAAAUCGUGGGGCUCAACCCCAUCCAGCCGUUGAAACUGGGGGUCUAGAGUAUGCGAGAGGUAUGCGGAAUGCGUGGUGUAGCGGUGAAAUGCAUAGAUAUCACGCAGAACCCCGAUUGCGAAGGCAGCAUACCGGUGCACAACUGACGCUCAGGCACGAAAGCGUGGGUAUCGAACAGGAUUAGAUACCCUUGUAGUC
RNAcentral lists this ribosomal RNA (458 nucleotides) under uncultured bacterium. Its description in RNAcentral is "partial 16S ribosomal RNA". It matches the Rfam family "Bacterial small subunit ribosomal RNA", at positions 338 to 795 of the family's 1533-position model. The record is from RNAcentral.